RNAcentral lists this long non-coding RNA (3948 nucleotides) under Sus scrofa (pig). RNAcentral describes it as "lncRNA (ENSSSCG00015070372.1)". The record is from RNAcentral. Lineage: Eukaryota; Metazoa; Chordata; Mammalia; Artiodactyla; Suidae.
UUCUUCCCCCCCCCACCCCGCCCCGUUCAAGCAAUGCAGGGUUAUGUGAGGUAUUUUUUAAUCAAAGAAAGAAAACUGAACUAAUUUUAAACUAAAAACAGACAAAAGAGGUGAUGUCUCAGGUCGGACUUAUAAAUAAAUUCUCAGGUUCGAAUGACACAUCAAUUCUGAGUCCUAGAAAGUGUGAUGAGAAUUCAAGUGACCACUGGGAAAAUAUGCACAAAGCUCAUAUCCCAAUGAUUCGGGUCAGAAGCUUAAGCAGAGCUCCCCACUGUUGCCUGUACAAGGUUUCACUAAUGGUCUGAUAAUGGGGAGGGGUGGUCGGCAAGGAGGUUCUCCCAAUACUUUACAGUGGUGUGAGCAUGACAGCCACUGAUUAAUUACUGCCCUGUUAUCAACUCACACAUUACUGAGCAACUCUCACUGUCUCCACAAUGGUCUCAUCGUUAAGGAACACUGCCUUAGAGAAUUCUUUAAGACGACGUAUUAAAAAUCCUUGGACUCUACCACAAAUUUUCAUAAAACUUAUCUUUCAGAUGAUCAAAGUGGAGAUUGGGAAAUAUUCGAAAGAUGGAAAAACAGGAGAGGGGAAUAACAUGGAUAUUUCAACCUUUGAUUUCAUUGUAGGCAGUACUAAAAAGUCGUAAUAUUACCAUAGUAAUCACCUUAAAAAUAUUAACAUAUGAAGUUUUAUCUGUUUUUACUUUUUUCCUUGUUUUCAUUCUUCAACCUCAUUUUACCCUCUACCCUCACUCCCUUGCCAUUUACACGUAUAACAGUGCCUAAGGAGGGGGGUUCCUGUUGUUUCAAAAUACACUGAAAACUGAACACUGAGGCUAAUGGCAAAAAAAAAAAAAAAUCACUUAGCUUUAAAUGAACAUCUCAAAGUAGUGCUCAUUAAUAUGUGCUUCUAUGGAAACAACUCUUUCUGGAUGUCAGCUUAAGCUUCUCCAUAUGAUUUUUCUCAAAGGCUCCCUUUUAAAACCAUCACUACCAUUUAUUAUCUUCUUGUUAUAUAGACGGUUACUUUUGUUUCAUCACAAAUCUCUGCCUGCUUAUUAGCAGCCCUGCCACCACUAUCAGAUGACAUUUGUUUUACUUAAUGUAUGUAGUUUUAGAAAAAAAUUAUAUAACUGCUAUUACUGCAUUAUAUGAAAAAAUUCCAACGUACAUUUAGCUGACACUGCAUCAGCUGCUAUUUAAACUGGGCUUAGCUAAUGGACUUUUAAUGUCAGCAGGGUUACGUGCAGUUACUGGCUAUUAGCAGAAAUGGCUCCUUUCUAUAAAAAUCACUUUUCCUCAAGUGUGUUGUUUGAACAUUCCUUUCCCUAAUUUAGUGACUGUCACUGAAUGCAAAACAAACUCAAGGACUGUGGAAUCCGCUCUUAUCUUUAAGACUCUCUUUUUAACCUUGCAAUUCAGCAUUAAACAGGCAACCCCUCUCAUUAGCAUUCAGACUUGUAAUCACAAAACUUUGUGGGGGCAUUAUUAUUUGCUAUUCUUAUUAGAGUAUUGCGUAUUUUCUUACGAAAACCCCACAUCAUACAUGAACAUACGAUAUGUCAGAGAACUCAGGAAACAAUAUCCCAAAAGCUAGAAUUUAUUCAUAUCUUUGAAAAUCCUAGUUCAGAAACGCCAAGUGAUGUGGAAACAUAUGGUGACAAUUAACAUAUAUUUACAUAUUGAUGUAUCAUAUAAAUAAUUUGCAUUUACUACAAUAUGAAAAAUAAGCAAAAAAGCACAUUAUCAAUCCACGUGGAAGUAAAUUUUUAUAUUCUUUCCUUAACAACCACCUUUCUUUCUCCUCAACUAACUUUAUCUUUGUUUAAACAAAGGUAUCAAUGAGUGUAAGGGAGAAAUCUGGAAAGAAAGCCACCUGUAUGGCAUCUGAGGGAGUCCAAGAAAGUUAAACAUUCCGCAGCCUGGAAACUUGACUUCAUUUUAUUCAGAAGUUGAAACAAAUCAGAACUGAAUUCAGGGGAAAAAACAACACAGCUGACUUUGCCUUCAAUCGGCCCAAUCAUGAGAGGUCACCUCAGGUAGGGUGCUUACAGAGCAAACACUGUCUCUCCUGCAGAGGGGUCUUAGGUGUGAAUGAAAGAUGUUACUCGUGCAGCAGGAAAGCCGACCUUCUCCUUCGGUCAAAAAAAUUACAGUCUACUUUAUAGGAAAAGGUGGAAGUUCUCCACAUGUUUGAAAUAAGCCAGUGAACAAGGAGAUCCCCCCGUAUCUGCCACGUGGAGGACAGGAGAAAUCUGUUUCUAUCAGAUUAGCCACUGCACAAAUGAGGCAGAGAUGUCUCUCCUGAAAACUACUGUCAAUAGUUUAGCUACUGAUCAUCUUUUUACAGAAGAGAAUAUAAUUUUUCAGUUAGAAACCAGUGGUGAAAACUAAUUCCCCAUUCAAUGACUGCCCUACGAAUAUUUUUAUUAAAAAAAUUUGUUCUCAUUUGUUUGAUAGGUUCUGUUUGUAUUUUAAGGAUAUUGCCAAGGCUGUUUGAAAACAAACUAUCCUAAAACAAACAAACAUAAAAAAGUUACACACAUACACACUUUGUUGUUCAUAUAUAUAUAUAUAUAUAUAUAUAUAUAUAUAUAUUCACUCACAGAGAACUAAAUUUGUCUACUUCUUGUAACUCUUCAUUCCAUUAAGAGUCUGCCUGGAAAUACCCUCAUAGGAAAUAAUUCCAUAGUUAUUUAAUUCAAUAAAAAUGACAUGUGUAUCUUUCAUGUGCUCAUCAUUUCCAAUAAAUCCAAUAAACCGAUUACCACCAUUCCUACUGGGAAAACAUACCUAUUGCUAAAAUUUUUUUCGAGCCAUCCUUUUGUAUUUUUUCAUCAAGUUAUAGUAAGUAAAGUUUAACUUUCUCUACGUGGUCCUUUUAAAUAUAAACAAAAAUAAAUAUCUAUUUUGAUCAAUGUCUUUUCUGGGACAAUUGUCCUUAAGAACUCCCAUAUAAUCCUAAGAAUGCUAUUCGAUUUCUGAUGUAUAGGUGAGAUGUAACAUUCAACAUUGAUACUGUUAUUAACGGCAAUGUUUAACAGAGUAGCUGAGGAAAUAGCAAUGCAUUUUAUAGAGAUCACCAAAGGAUUCUAUGUAUUAGUAUGCCACUGAUUGAAGUCUACAUUUCUCAAACAUGUAUAUCCUACUCAAACAGGACCAAGUAAAGUGUAACUUCUUUCAAAAAUACACCUUUUAAAUACUUUCCAAAUUCUUUUGCUAUGUUAACUGAAAUAGGUGCAUAUCCAUUUUAUUAUUAUUCUAUUUACAUAAUAAAAUUUCAAGUCAGAGUGCCCACUGAAUAAUAUUAUGAUGAAAUACUGACCCUAGGUCUCUUUUCCAGAGAGCACAAACAAUAAAUCAUUUGAACAUGCCUGUUUUUCCUCAGCUUCUGAGAACAGUGAAAUGGGCUUCUGUUUUCCACCAAGCUGUCUGCUCUGCUGAUGGUGGCUGUAGUAGCCCAGGAGGAAAAUGUCUUAGGCUCUUUCAAUCCUUGAAUUUGACCCCUAACACAUUUUAAAGCUUAUAUUCUUUCAUCAUCCUAUGGAAAUCCAGAAGGAAGAAGGGAAGAUGCUAAAGAAAAGGACAGGUAACAUAAUUGCUGUUUUAUUUAGCAUGAUUUCAAGAUUACUGCUUGCCAAACUUGCCUACUUCCACUGGGUGGCUACAAUGUGUAUAUUUGGCAAACUCUUUAUUCAUGGAAGAUAAAAUAUAUCAUUUUCUCUUAUCAAAAGCUAAAUUCAAAUGUCAACAUAUUUCACACAGAUAUAGUGCUCAAAGUGAAAUUACCGUUAUUUGCUAUGACUUUUCAAUCAUCAAGUUUUUAUUGUGGUGGUAAUCUUGUUUGGUCUGGAUUAGAGAUAACACAGGUCUCUGACAAUCAUGUAUAAUAAAACAACAGUAGGGCCUUUUCUUCACUGACUAUCACUUUUAGUUUCUGUAAAAGUU